GAUCCUGGUGGACGAUGUGCGCAGCAAGCUUGAAAUGAUUCCGACGGUGGCCGAGGCCGACGUCGAGCUGGUGUUCGACCCGCCAUGGGGCCG
This 93-nucleotide transfer RNA is filed under the name Stenotrophomonas maltophilia. RNAcentral's name for it is "tRNA-Phe". The record is from RNAcentral. Lineage: Bacteria; Pseudomonadati; Pseudomonadota; Gammaproteobacteria; Lysobacterales; Lysobacteraceae.